This 253-nucleotide ribosomal RNA is filed under the name uncultured bacterium. Its description in RNAcentral is "partial 16S ribosomal RNA". It matches the Rfam family "Bacterial small subunit ribosomal RNA", at positions 524 to 776 of the family's 1533-position model. The record is from RNAcentral.
UACGUAGGGGGCGAGCGUUGUCCGGAAUCAUUGGGCGUAAAGAGCGUGUAGGCGGUUCGGUAAGUCCGCCGUGAAAACCUGGGGCUCAACCCCGGGCGUGCGGUGGAUACUGCCGGACUAGAGGGUGGUAGAGGCGAGUGGAAUUCCCGGUGUAGCGGUGAAAUGCGCAGAUAUCGGGAGGAACACCAGUAGCGAAGGCGACUCGCUGGGCCAUUCCUGACGCUGAGACGCGAAAGCUAGGGGAGCGAACAGU